UCCAUGGUGGCUCAGAUGGUAAAGCAUCUGCUUGCAAUGCAGGAGACCCAGGUUCAAUCCCCGGGUUAGGAA
Transfer RNA from Ovis aries (sheep), 72 nucleotides. It matches the Rfam family "tRNA". Rfam says of the family: Transfer RNA (tRNA) molecules are approximately 80 nucleotides in length. Their secondary structure includes four short double-helical elements and three loops (D, anti-codon, and T loops). The record is from Rfam. Lineage: Eukaryota; Metazoa; Chordata; Mammalia; Artiodactyla; Bovidae.